Molecule: ribosomal RNA, 459 nt
Filed under: uncultured bacterium
Lineage: Bacteria
Description: partial 16S ribosomal RNA
Rfam family: Bacterial small subunit ribosomal RNA
Source: RNAcentral
CCUACGGGUGGCAGCAGUGAGGAAUAUUGGUCAAUGGCCGAGAGGCUGAACCAGCCAAGUCGCGUGAGGGAAGACUGUCCUACGGGUUGUAAACCUCUUUUGUCGGGGAGCAAAGUCAGUCACGUGUGGCUCAUUGAGAGUACCCGAAGAAAAAGCAUCGGCUAACUCCGUGCCAGCAGCCGCGGUAAUACGGAGGAUGCGAGCGUUAUCCGGAUUUAUUGGGUUUAAAGGGUGCGUAGGCGGGGUAGCAAGUCAGCGGUAAAAUCGCGGGGCUCAACCCCGUACUGCCGUUGAAACUGCAGCUCUUGAGUGCGCGAGAAGUAUGCGGAAUGCGUGGUGUAGCGGUGAAAUGCAUAGAUAUCACGCAGAACUCCGAUUGCGAAGGCAGCAUACCGGCGCGCGACUGACGCUGAUGCACGAAAGUGUGGGUAUCGAACAGGAUUAGAUACCCGAGUAGUC